AACGAACGCUGGCGGCAUGCCUCAUACAUGCAAGUCGAACGAAGGCUUCGGCCUUAGUGGCGCACGGGUGAGUAGCGCGUGGGAACCUGCCCUGGAGUGGGGGAUAACCGAGGGAAACUUCGGCUAAUACCGCAUGCGCCCGGUAGCAAUACCGGGGAAAGAUUUAUCGCUCUAGGAGGGGCCCGCGUCGGAUUAGCUAGUUGGUGGGGUAACGGCCUACCAAGGCGACGAUCCGUAGCUGGUCUGAGAGGAUGAUCAGCCACACUGGGA
RNAcentral lists this ribosomal RNA (270 nucleotides) under uncultured bacterium. RNAcentral describes it as "partial 16S ribosomal RNA". It matches the Rfam family "Bacterial small subunit ribosomal RNA", at positions 29 to 318 of the family's 1533-position model. The record is from RNAcentral.